This 70-nucleotide transfer RNA is filed under the name Podarcis lilfordi (Lilford's wall lizard). RNAcentral describes it as "tRNA.Thr". It matches the Rfam family "tRNA". From Rfam's summary of the family: Transfer RNA (tRNA) molecules are approximately 80 nucleotides in length. Their secondary structure includes four short double-helical elements and three loops (D, anti-codon, and T loops). Lineage: Eukaryota; Metazoa; Chordata; Lepidosauria; Squamata; Lacertidae. The record is from RNAcentral.
GCUGUGGGCUCAGUGGCAGAGCUCCUGCUUUGUAUGCAGAAGGUCCCAGGUUCGAUUCUUGGCAUCUCCA